UACGUAGGGGGCUAGCGUUGUCCGGAUUUAUUGGGCGUAAAGAGCGCGUAGGCGGCCAGAUAAGUCCGGUGUGAAAGUCAGAGGCUCAACCUUUGAAUGCCGCUGGAAACUGUCUGGCUAGAGUCCGGAAGGGGCGAGUGGAAUUCCUGGUGUAGCGGUGAAAUGCGCAGAUAUCAGGAGGAACACCAAUGGCGAAGGCAGCUCGCUGGAACGGUACUGACGCUGAGGCGCGAAAGCGUGGGGAGCGAACAGG
This 253-nucleotide ribosomal RNA is filed under the name uncultured bacterium. RNAcentral describes it as "partial 16S ribosomal RNA". It matches the Rfam family "Bacterial small subunit ribosomal RNA", at positions 524 to 776 of the family's 1533-position model. The record is from RNAcentral.